This 450-nucleotide ribosomal RNA is filed under the name uncultured bacterium. Its description in RNAcentral is "partial 16S ribosomal RNA". It matches the Rfam family "Bacterial small subunit ribosomal RNA", at positions 354 to 796 of the family's 1533-position model. The record is from RNAcentral.
GUGGGGAAUAUUGGACAAUGGGCGAAAGCCUGAUCCAGCCAUGCCGCGUGUGUGAAGAAGGUCUUCGGAUUGUAAAGCACUUUAAGUUGGGAGGAAGGGCAUUAACCUAAUACGUUAGUGUUUUGACGUUACCGACAGAAUAAGCACCGGCUAACUUCGUGCCAGCAGCCGCGGUAAUACGAAGGGUGCAAGCGUUAAUCGGAAUUACUGGGCGUAAAGCGCGCGUAGGUGGUUCGUUAAGUUGGAUGUGAAAGCCCCGGGCUCAACCUGGGAACUGCAUCCAAAACUGGCGAGCUAGAGUACGGUAGAGGGUGGUGGAAUUUCCUGUGUAGCGGUGAAAUGCGUAGAUAUAGGAAGGAACACCAGUGGCGAAGGCGACUACCUGGACUGAUACUGACACUGAGGUGCGAAAGCGUGGGGAGCAAACAGGAUUAGAUACCCGAGUAGUCC